This 213-nucleotide long non-coding RNA is filed under the name Linum usitatissimum (flax). RNAcentral's name for it is "long non-coding RNA (LUSI_LNC001919)". Lineage: Eukaryota; Viridiplantae; Streptophyta; Magnoliopsida; Malpighiales; Linaceae. The record is from RNAcentral.
GGCGAUUCACGGAACCGCCUGAGAUGCCUAACGGAUUUCGCCGAGGAGAAACGAUAACGGCUGAGGGGAGGGGGCGGAGAUUGAAGAAGCUCUGGGAAUUUCGGGUUCGGGAUUUUCUUGAGCGGUGGAGAGAGAGAGAGAGAGGAGAGAGAGAAAACAGAAAUGAGAGAGCGGCUUGAAGAGAAUCUCUGACCGCGAAAGGCACGGGGUCCU